Molecule: ribosomal RNA, 1500 nt
Filed under: uncultured bacterium
Lineage: Bacteria
Description: 16S ribosomal RNA
Rfam family: Bacterial small subunit ribosomal RNA
Source: RNAcentral
UUAGAGUUUGAUCCUGGCUCAGAAUAAACGUUGGCGGUGCGCCUAACACAUGCAAGUCGAGCGAGAAAGGUCUUCGGACUGAGUACAGCGGCAGACGGGUGAGUAACGCGUGGGAAUCUACCCUUUAGUGAAGAAUACCUUCGAGAAAUUGGAGUUAAUGCUGCAUACGUCCCUUCGGGGAGAAAGAUGGCCUCUUUGCUGUCGCUAGAGGAUGAGCCUGCGUACUAUUAGCUAGUUGGUAGGGUAAUGGCCUACCAAGGCGAUGAUGGUUAGCCGGCCUGAGAGGGUGAACGGCCACAUUGGAACUGAGAUACGGUCCAGACUCCUACGGGAGGCAGCAGUGAGGAAUAUUGCGCAAUGGGCGCAAGCCUGACGCAGCGACACCGCGUGAAGGAUGAAGGCUUUCGGGUCGUAAACUUCUGUUAAGUGGGAAGAAAAAGCUGGUCCUAAUAUGACCAGAAAAUGACGGUACCACUAGAGAAAGCACCGGCUAACUUCGUGCCAGCAGCCGCGGUAAGACGAGGGGUGCAAACGUUAUUCGGAAUGAUUGGGUGUAAAGGGUGCGUAGGCGGUAUGUUAAGUCAAUCGUUAAAUUUUUCGGCUUAACUGAAAGUCAGCGGUAGAAACUGGCGUACUUGAGGAUGGAAGAGAGAAGUAGAAUUCUCGGAGUAGCGGUAAAAUGCGUAGAUCUCGAGAGGAAUACCAAUGGCGAAGGCAGCUUCUUGGUCCAUAUCUGACGCUGAGGCACGAAAGCGUGGGGAGCAAACAGGAUUAGAUACCCUGGUAGUCCACGCUGUAAACGAUGAUCACUAGACGUUAGUCGCGCUUGCGUGAUUAGUGUUGCAGCUAACGCGAUAAGUGAUCCACCUGGGGAGUACGGUCGCAAGAUUAAAACUCAAAGGAAUUGACGGGGGUCCGCACAAGCGGUGGAACAUGUGGUUUAAUUCGACACUACGCGAGGACCCUUACCUAGGCUUGACAUGCUUAUGACCGCCCUAGAAACAGGGUUUUUCAAGCGAAAGCUUGAACAUUUGCACAGAUGCUGCAUGGCUGUCGUCAGCUCGUGUCGUGAGAUGUUGGGUUAAGUCCUUUAACGAGCGCAACUCCUGUUGCCAGUUGCAACCCCGUGAGGGGGCACUCUGGUGAGACUGCCUGGGAAACCAGGAGGAAGGUGGGAAUGACGUCAAGUCCUCAUGGCUCUUACGCCUAGGGCAACACACGUGUUACAAUGGCUGGUACAAAGGGCUGCAAUCUCGUAAGAGGGAGCUAAUCCUCAAAGCCAGUCUAAGUUCGGAUUGAGGUCUGCAACUCGACCUCAUGAAGCUGAAAUCGCUAGUAAUCGCAUAUCAGAAUGAUGCGGUGAAUACGUUCUCGGACCUUGUACACACCGCCCGUCACGCCACGAAAGUUGUCUGUACCCGAAAUCGUCUUAGCUAACCUUACGGAGGCGGAUGCCUAAGGUAUGGGGAAUGAUUGGGGUGAAGUCGUAACAAGGUAACC